RNAcentral lists this ribosomal RNA (459 nucleotides) under uncultured bacterium. Its description in RNAcentral is "partial 16S ribosomal RNA". It matches the Rfam family "Bacterial small subunit ribosomal RNA", at positions 338 to 795 of the family's 1533-position model. The record is from RNAcentral.
CCUACGGGAGGCAGCAGUGAGGAAUAUUGGUCAAUGGGCGGAAGCCUGAACCAGCCAAGUAGCGUGCGGGAUGAAGGCCCUACGGGUCGUAAACCGCUUUUGCACGGGGAUAACACCCUCCACUUGUGGAGGUCUGCAGGUACCGUGCGAAUAAGGGCCGGCUAAUUCCGUGCCAGCAGCCGCGGUAAUACGGAAGGCCCGAGCGUUAUCCGGAUUCAUUGGGCUUAAAGGGAGCGUAGGCGGGCGUUCAAGUCAGCUGUAAAAUCGCGCGGCUCAACCGCGCCCCGCAGUUGAAACUGGACGCAUUGAGUUCACAACAGGCAGGCGGGAUUCGUGGUGUAGCGGUGAAAUGCAUGGAUAUCACGAGGGGCCCCGAUUGCGAAGGCAGCCUGGCGGGGUGCGACUGACGCUGAGGCUCGAAGGUGCGGGUAUCAAACAGGAUUAGAUACCCUAGUAGUG